CGUCAGUCUUUGUCCAGGGGGCCGCCUUCGCCACCGGUAUUCCUCCAGAUCUBUACGCAUUUCACCGCUACACCUGGAAUUCUACCCCCCUCUACAAGACUCAAGCCUGCCAGUUUCAAAUGCAGUUCCCAGGUUGAGCCCGGGGAUUUCACAUCUGACUUAACAGACCGCCUGCGUGCGCUUUACGCCCAGUAAUUCCGAUUAACGCUUGCACCCUCCGUAUUACCGCGGCUGCUGGCACGGAGUUAGCCGGUGCUUCUUCUGCGAGUAACGUCAAUCRCYAAGGUUAUUAACCUUAAYGCCUUCCUCCUCGCUGAAAGUACUUUACAACCCGAAGGCCUUCUUCAUACACGCGGCAUGGCUGCAUCAGGCUUGCGCCCAUUGUGCAAUAUUCCCCACUGCUGCCUCCCGUAGGAGUCUGGACCGUGUCUCAGUUCCAGUGUGGCUGGUCAUCCUCUCAGACCAGCUAGGGAUCGUCGCCUAGGUGAGCCAUUACCCCACCUACUAGCUAAUCCCAUCUGGGCACAUCUGAUGGCAUGAGGCCCGAAGGUCCCCCACUUUGGUCUUGCGACGUUAUGCGGUAUUAGCUACCGUUUCCAGUAGUUAUCCCCCUCCAUCAGGCAGUUUCCCAGACAUUACUCACCCGUCCGCCGCUCGUCACCCGAGAGCAAGCUCUCUGUGCUACCGCUCGACUUGCAUGUGUUAGGCSUGCCGCCAGCGUUCAAU
RNAcentral lists this ribosomal RNA (726 nucleotides) under Klebsiella ornithinolytica. Its description in RNAcentral is "Raoultella ornithinolytica partial 16S rRNA". Lineage: Bacteria; Pseudomonadati; Pseudomonadota; Gammaproteobacteria; Enterobacterales; Enterobacteriaceae. The record is from RNAcentral.